RNAcentral lists this long non-coding RNA (2244 nucleotides) under Sorghum bicolor (sorghum). Its description in RNAcentral is "long non-coding RNA (SBIC_LNC008291)". The record is from RNAcentral. Lineage: Eukaryota; Viridiplantae; Streptophyta; Magnoliopsida; Poales; Poaceae.
AGAACAAUAAAACAAGAACUUACUAGAAUUUAGAAGUCGAAAUACUGAAGAAUCCUAGGAGCAAGCUUCGGGUUAGGAGAGCUUGAUCCCACAGGUACAAGCUUGGAGUAGACACCAACAGGCCGGGCUUCCUCCAAUCUACACCUCCACUCGAUCUCUCUCAAUCUAGUAGAAACUAGAAGAUCUAUUUCUACUUUACAUUGGUUGCUAAGCCUAAAAAGAAAUAUUAAUUAGAGAAGAGGUUUUCCUUCGAGGGCACCCCUCAAUCUCUAUGAUAAUUUCUUCAUGUCUUCUCCAGGGGCCAGGGGGGUCUCCUUAUAUAGUCCUCCUCCUCUAUGCGUUUUUGGGUCGGUAGGCGAGGUGGUACUAUUUUUUUUUCUUGAUCCAAUAGGUCGGUGGAAUAUCCCGUGCGAAGAGAGUCCUGAAUGCAAUCCAGCAGGGGGCGGGCGCCCAGGUCACCAGGGCGGGCGCCCUGGGCCUGGCCCCUUUCGGCCUCUGCCUUCUUCCCGUGGCUUCUGGAGUCUUCUAGAUGGUAGAAAAUCGCGCGGUGCGUUGAUAUCUCUAUGUAAUCCCGACAUGUGGGCCUUUCUUCCUUAUUUCCUGAUAACCCCCUGCAGAAACAGAUAAACAACAAAACUCGUGGAAUUCUGUCAGAUCAAACCCUAAUUCUAGGUGUUGGUUGCAUAUUGGUCCUUUCUCUUGUUUAUUUGAUAAUUAAAAUUAAUACUUAAGAACCGUCAACAGCCCUCAGCUUUACAAAUUGCUUGAGGUUGAAAUUUGGAGUCUCGUUUUACUUGACAAAUUUAUUGUACAAAGUCUUCUUCCAAUUCUGGAACAGUACUACCAUCUUCUUCAUAGUCCAGUCAUAAAUUCGCACCUUCAACUCAUCAUCGUUGGUGUCGAAGGUGAAAACAUCUGUGACGGCUUUCCAAACUAACUCCUUGUCACGAUCGGAGACAAAACUGAUCUCAGGAGCACCUCGCUUCUCUCUCCAUUCACGAGCACUAAUCGGUAUUUGAUCUCUCACAAGAUAUCCACAGUGACUAACAUAUUUAUUUGCAUGUUCACCAAGUGGUCUCCCUGUAGCUAUCUCAAACUCAGAGAUUACAUAGCGGCCCUCCAACGGCUUCUUUGGCCCUCGUGGAGGUACGCUUCUCUCCGUAGAGGUCGAUCCAGAAGGCUACACGUAGAUAUAGAAACAAAAAUACUAAAUUAAUAACCAAAUAAGUCUAAAACAUAAUGUAAGAGAUGCAUUAAUUAUAUAUGUUUACAUUUACAUACCUCGCCAGUAUUUUCUUCUUGUUGCACGACAAGUUGUUGCUCAGGCGCAUUGCCCUGUUGCUCAGGGGCAUUGCCCUCUUGUUGCUCAGUCGGAUUGCCUUGCAUGAUCUCGUUGUAAUCAGUAAAGUACUGACUACCGUCGUCGAUCAUAUUUUGAAUGGCAUCUUCCAUAUAUUCAGCAUCAUCGUGAGGACGGUCUGCCAUUUCUAUGUCUGCAACCAUAUAUAUAUAUAUACAUAAUAAAGAAAUACACUAGAAUAAUAUAAGUGCUAGAGUGCUCCAAACUAAAAAAUAAUACUAAAAAAUAAUACAAACAAUAACACUAGAAUAAUAUAAGUGCUAGAGUGCUCCAAACUAAAAAAUAAUACUAAAAAAACAAUACUGACAAUAACACUAGAAUAAUAUACUAGCACAAUAUAUUUCAUAACAAUUCAAAACACUACAAUUCAUAAUAUACAAGAAUAAUAUACUAAAAAGUCUUUUAAGCCAAGUAAUAUACUAGAAUAAUAUACUAAAAAUAUUACUAAAAAAUAAUACUAGAAUAAUAGUAUAAACAAGAAUAGUAUAUGUUUUAAGCCAAGUAAUACACUUGCACCUAGAAUAAUAUACUAAAAAAAAUUAAUACUACAAAAUGAUACAAGAAUAAUAUGAGUGUUAGAGUGCUUCAAACUAAAAAAUAAUACUUAAAAAAAUAAUACGGACAAUAACACUAGAAUAAUAUACUAGCACAAUAUAUUUCAUAACAAUUCAAAACACUACAAUUCAUAAUAUACUAGAAUAACAUACUAAAAAGUCUUUUAAGCCAUGUACUAGAAUAAUAUACUAAAAAAAUUAAUACUACUACAAAAUGAUACAAGAAUAAUAUAAGUGCAUAUAUAUACAUAAUGAUACAAAAUAAUAGUAUAUAAACUGUUGGUAUAUAUAAAAUAUAAGUGCAUAUAUAAUGAUACAAAAUAAUUGUAC